GGAAGUUAAGAAAUUGUUUCUUAACUUUUAACUAAAAAAACUAAGAACCGGUUCUUAAAGUCCUUAUUUAAGAACUGGUUCUUAAAGUCUUUAUUUAAGAACCGGUUCUUAAAGUCCUUAUUUAAUAACCGGUUCUUAGCUUUUUUAGUUAAAAGUUAAGAAACAAUUUCUUAACUUCC
Molecule: microRNA precursor, 179 nt
Filed under: Brassica napus (rape)
Lineage: Eukaryota; Viridiplantae; Streptophyta; Magnoliopsida; Brassicales; Brassicaceae
Description: MIR9563 microRNA precursor family
Rfam family: MIR9563 microRNA precursor family
Source: Rfam by way of RNAcentral